UUUUUAGCAUAAAUAUGUCUUAUGCAAUGUUUGGGACAUACUUAUGCUAAAA
Pan troglodytes (chimpanzee) is the source of this 52-nucleotide microRNA precursor. It matches the Rfam family "mir-1302 microRNA precursor family". NCBI's taxonomy places the organism in Eukaryota, Metazoa, Chordata, Mammalia, Primates, Hominidae. The record is from Rfam.